This 465-nucleotide ribosomal RNA is filed under the name uncultured bacterium. RNAcentral describes it as "partial 16S ribosomal RNA". It matches the Rfam family "Bacterial small subunit ribosomal RNA", at positions 29 to 507 of the family's 1533-position model. The record is from RNAcentral.
ACGAACGCUGGCGGCGUGCUUAACACAUGCCAGUCGCACGGAAAGGCCCUGCUUGCCGGGUACUCGAGUGGCGAACGGGUGAGUAACACGUGGGUGAUCUGCCCUGCACUUCGGGAUAAGCUUGGGAAACUGGGUCUAAUACCGGAUAGGAGCCAUCUUUAGUGUGGUGGUUGGAAAGUUUUUUCGGUGUAGGAUGAGCUCGCGGCCUAUCAGCUUGUUGGUGGGGUAAUGGCCUACCAAGGCGGCGACGGGUAGCCGGCCUGAGAGGGUGUACGGCCACAUUGGGACUGAGAUACGGCCCAGACUCCUACGGGAGGCAGCAGUGGGGAAUAUUGCACAAUGGGCGCAAGCCUGAUGCAGCGACGCCGCGUGGGGGAUGAAGGCCUUCGGGUUGUAAACUCCUUUCGCUAGGGACGAAGCUUUUUUGUGACGGUACCUAGAGAAGAAGCACCGGCUAACUACGUG